UGGGUAACCUGCCUCAAAGAGGGGAAUAGCCUCCCGAAAGGGAGAUUAAUACCGCAUAAUAUGUUUUAGUCGCAUGACUUAAACAUCAAAGGAUUUUCUUUUAGAAAUUCCACUUUGAGAUGGACCCGCGGCGCAUUAGCUAGUUGGUGAGGUAACGGCUCACCAAGGCAACGAUGCGUAGCCGACCUGAGAGGGUGACGCGACAUGUACG
Molecule: ribosomal RNA, 211 nt
Filed under: uncultured bacterium
Lineage: Bacteria
Description: partial 16S ribosomal RNA
Rfam family: Bacterial small subunit ribosomal RNA
Source: RNAcentral